CCUGGAUGAGACAUCCUACCCCCAGCUGUGGAUGCUCAAAGGAGAGGUCCUACUGGAAUUGGAGCAGCACCAACCAGCCCGGCUGCUCUUAUCAGAGGCCCAACAGACUUUCCAGGAGCUAGGCUAUGUCUGUUUAGAAGCACAGAGCUUGUUGCUUCUAGCACAGCUGGCCAACAAGGAAAAGAACCACGGACAAGCUAUGCUCAUGAUUGAGAGAGCCCAGCAGCUAGGGGGAGCUGAGGAAUUCUGGUACAACUCAACCCUGGCUCUGGCUGAGGCCAUCUUAUCCUCUGAAGAUGAUGACAAAGAAGUCACAGUGAGUUAGGGGGGGCAGCAGACAAUGGUAGGGUGCAUGAGGGAGGGUAUGUGCUGACGUCCUGU
This 381-nucleotide long non-coding RNA is filed under the name Cricetulus griseus (Chinese hamster). RNAcentral describes it as "lncRNA (ENSCGRG00000025911.1)". Lineage: Eukaryota; Metazoa; Chordata; Mammalia; Rodentia; Cricetidae. The record is from RNAcentral.